UACGUAGGGCGCAAGCGUUAUCCGGAAUUACUGGGUUUAAAGGGUCCGUAGGCGGGACAAUAAGUCAGCGGUGAAAGUCUGUGGCUCAACCAUAGAAUUGCCAUUGAUACUGUUGUUCUUGAGUGUUUAUGAAGUGGUUGGAAUAUGUAGUGUAGCGGUGAAAUGCUUAGAUAUUACAUAGAACACCGAUUGCGAAGGCAGAUCACUAAUAAAAUACUGACGCUGAUGGACGAAAGCGUAGGUAGCGAACAGG
This 253-nucleotide unclassified non-coding RNA is filed under the name uncultured Flavobacteriaceae bacterium. RNAcentral describes it as "contains 16S-23S intergenic spacer region". It matches the Rfam family "Bacterial small subunit ribosomal RNA", at positions 524 to 776 of the family's 1533-position model. Lineage: Bacteria; Pseudomonadati; Bacteroidota; Flavobacteriia; Flavobacteriales; Flavobacteriaceae. The record is from RNAcentral.